Molecule: ribosomal RNA, 374 nt
Filed under: uncultured Lactobacillus sp.
Lineage: Bacteria; Bacillati; Bacillota; Bacilli; Lactobacillales; Lactobacillaceae
Description: bacterial SSU rRNA
Rfam family: Bacterial small subunit ribosomal RNA
Source: RNAcentral
AUAAGAAAGCAGAUCGCAUGAUCAGCUUUUAAAAGGCGGCGUAAAGCUGUCGCUAGUGGGGAUCGGCCCCCGCGGUGCAUUAGCUAGUUGGUAAGGUAAAGGCUUACCAAGGCGAUGAUGCAUAGCCGAGUUGAGAGACUGAUCGGCCACAUUGGGGACUGAGACACGGCCCAAACUCCUACGGGGAGGCAGCAGUAGGGAAUCUUCCACAAUGGACGCAAGUCUGAUGGAGCAACGCCGCGUGAGUGAAGUAAGGUUUUCGGAUCGUAAAAGCUCUGUUGUUGGUGAAGAAGGAUAGAGGUAGUAACUGGCCUUUAUUUGACGGUAAUCAACCAGAAAGUCACGGCUAACUACGUGCCAGCAGCCGCGGUAAU